This 524-nucleotide non-coding RNA is filed under the name Pongo abelii (Sumatran orangutan). Lineage: Eukaryota; Metazoa; Chordata; Mammalia; Primates; Hominidae. The record is from RNAcentral.
GGCUUUGGGGAGGGGGUGGGAGAGACGACAGGUCUGGGAUCAGGGAGUCUUCAAGGCCCCCGCUGAGGGGACAGCGAAUCUACCAUUGAACCGUGCACGGGGGACAUGGACGAAAUGAGACGCGACAGGGACAAGAGCAUUUUGCUCUGCUUCCAGGAAACAUCAAGUUGCUUGUCUGGAGACAGAGCCACUACGGGCAGGGCCUGGGCGCCUGGAGUCGGGCAUGAAAGGAAAUAGCGCCUCAUCGCUCUUAUCUAAGCCCAGAGGUCUACUUCGCUUGAAAAGAUCGAGAAUGGGGGAGGGGAUCGUCACUCACUUGCAGACAUCAACAGUUUCCAGAAAACUCGGUUCAAUUCCUUCACCACGGACCCACCAACCAAGGAGCUGGCAAGACCCACCAGCCAACCAGGAGAACACAGACCCGGUUUGUCUUUUGACAACCGAGUGGAACUGACGGGGCCGGCGCCUGCCCUGCGGGUCCCCUCCCUUGGCUGAGAAGAAAACCAAAUAAACCUUGAACAGCC